UCUUUCUUUGCUGGCGACCGGCGCACGGGUGAGUAACACGUAUCCAACCUGCCCUUUACUCGGGGGUAGCCUUUCGAAAGAAAGAUUAAUACCCGAUAGCAUAAUGAUUCCGCAUGGUUUCAUUAUUAAAGGAUUCCGGUAAAGGAUGGGGAUGCGUUCCAUUAGGUUGUUGGUGAGGUAACGGCUCACCAAGCCUUCGAUGGAUAGGGGUUCCGAGAGGAAGGUCCCCCACAUUGGAACUGAGACACGGUCCAA
This 255-nucleotide ribosomal RNA is filed under the name uncultured bacterium. RNAcentral describes it as "partial 16S ribosomal RNA". It matches the Rfam family "Bacterial small subunit ribosomal RNA", at positions 78 to 334 of the family's 1533-position model. The record is from RNAcentral.